This 468-nucleotide ribosomal RNA is filed under the name uncultured bacterium. RNAcentral's name for it is "partial 16S ribosomal RNA". It matches the Rfam family "Bacterial small subunit ribosomal RNA", at positions 28 to 507 of the family's 1533-position model. The record is from RNAcentral.
GACGAACGCUGGCGGCGUGCUUAAUACAUGCAAGUCGAACGGAAAGGCCCUGCUUUUGCGGGGUGCUCGAGUGGCGAACGGGUGAGUAACACGUGAGUAACCUGCCCCUGACUUUGGGAUAACUUCAGGAAACUGGGGCUAAUACCGGAUAGGAGCUCCUGCUGCAUGGUGGGGGUUGGUAAGUUUCGGCGGUUGGGGCUGGAUUCGCGGCUUAUCAGCUUGUUGGUGAAGUAGUGACUUACGAAGGCUUUGACGGGUAGCCGGCAUGGGAGGGGGACCAGCCACAAUAGGCCUACGAGAGGGACCAGACGCCAACGGGCCGCAGCGGGGGGGAAUAUUGCGCAAUAGGCGGGAGCCUGAUGCAGCAACGCCGCGUGCGGGAUGACGGCCUUCGGGUUGUAAACCUCUUUCGCCUGUGCCGAAGCGUGAGUGACGGUAAUGGGUAAAAAAGCACCGGCUAACUACGUG